GAUGGCACUUAGCAUAUAAGGGUCCAGCAACAAAAACCCCGGCUUAUACGGGGUUUUUUGUUAUCUAAGCAUUUGUAAAUGCGUUUAGAUAAUGUUUGCUUGGAAUUUAAAUUGGGCUUUGAGCCCUUUUUUU
This is a non-coding RNA of Vibrionales bacterium SWAT-3, 133 nucleotides long. NCBI's taxonomy places the organism in Bacteria, Pseudomonadati, Pseudomonadota, Gammaproteobacteria, Vibrionales. The record is from Rfam.